This 255-nucleotide ribosomal RNA is filed under the name uncultured bacterium. RNAcentral describes it as "partial 16S ribosomal RNA". It matches the Rfam family "Bacterial small subunit ribosomal RNA", at positions 524 to 776 of the family's 1533-position model. The record is from RNAcentral.
UACGGGGGGGAGCAAACGUUGUUCGGAAUCACUGGGCGUAAAGGGAGCGUAGGCGGCCAUGUAAGUGAGGUGUUAAAUCCCCCCGGCUCAACCGGGGACCUGCACCUCAUACUGCACGGCUUGAGUACAUCAGAGGAGACUGGAAUUCCUGGUGUAGCGGUGAAAUGCGUAGAUAUCAGGAGGAACACCUGUGGUGUAGACGGCUUUCUGGACCAUAGCUGACGCUGAGACACGAAAGCGUGGGUAGCAAACAGG